This 2766-nucleotide ribosomal RNA is filed under the name Salmonella enterica subsp. enterica serovar Weltevreden. RNAcentral's name for it is "bacterial LSU rRNA". It matches the Rfam family "Bacterial large subunit ribosomal RNA", at positions 593 to 2925 of the family's 2925-position model. Lineage: Bacteria; Pseudomonadati; Pseudomonadota; Gammaproteobacteria; Enterobacterales; Enterobacteriaceae. The record is from RNAcentral.
GUGACUGCGUACCUUUUGUAUAAUGGGUCAGCGACUUAUAUUCUGUAGCAAGGUUAACCGAAUAGGGGAGCCGGAGGGAAACCGAGUCUUAACCGGGCGUUAAGUUGCAGGGUAUAGACCCGAAACCCGGUGAUCUAGCCAUGGGCAGGUUGAAGGUUGGGUAACACUAACUGGAGGACCGAACCGACUAAUGUUGAAAAAUUAGCGGAUGACCUGUGGCUGGGGGUGAAAGGCCAAUCAAACCGGGAGAUAGCUGGUUCUCCCCGAAAGCUAUUUAGGUAGCGCCUCGUGAAUUCAUCUCCGGGGGUAGAGCACUGUUUCGGCUAGGGGGCCAUCCCGGCUUACCAACCCGAUGCAAACUGCGAAUACCGGAGAAUGUUAUCACGGGAGACACACGGCGGGUGCUAACGUCCGUCGUGAAGAGGGAAACAACCCAGACCGCCAGCUAAGGUCCCAAAGUCAUGGUUAAGUGGGAAACGAUGUGGGAAGGCCCAGACAGCCAGGAUGUUGGCUUAGAAGCAGCCAUCAUUUAAAGANAACCCAGACCGCCAGCUAAGGUCCCAAAGUCAUGGUUAAGUGGGAAACGAUGUGGGAAGGCCCAGACAGCCAGGAUGUUGGCUUAGAAGCAGCCAUCAUUUAAAGAAAGCGUAAUAGCUCACUGGUCGAGUCGGCCUGCGCGGAAGAUGUAACGGGGCUAAACCAUGCACCGAAGCUGCGGCAGCGAACGUAUCACCCAAGACAACUUUACGGAGUUGACGAUUGACGGAGCGAAGCGACGUCAAAGCGUUCAUUAAAGUCGAGUUGGCUUAGGGAUACGUUCNAAAGCGUAAUAGCUCACUGGUCGAGUCGGCCUGCGCGGAAGAUGUAACGGGGCUAAACCAUGCACCGAAGCUGCGGCAGCGACGCUUAUGCGUUGUUGGGUAGGGGAGCGUUCUGUAAGCCUGUGAAGGUGGCCUGUGAGGGUUGCUGGAGGUAUCAGAAGUGCGAAUGCUGACAUAAGUAACGAUAAAGCGGGUGAAAAGCCCGCUCGCCGGAAGACCAAGGGUUCCUGUCCAACGUUAAUCGGGGCAGGGUGAGUCGACCCCUAAGGCGAGGCCGAAAGGCGUAGUCGAUGGGAAACGGGUUAAUAUUCCCGUACUUGGUGUUACUGCGAAGGGGGGACGGAGAAGGCUAUGUUGGCCGGGCGACGGUUGUCCCGGUUUAAGCGUGUAGGUGUGUGUUCCAGGUAAAUCCGGUUCACUUUAACACUGAGGCGUGAUGACGAGGCACUACGGUGCUGAAGCAACAAAUGCCCUGCUUCCAGGAAAAGCCUCUAAGCAUCAGGUAACAUCAAAUCGUACCCCAAACCGACACAGGUGGUCAGGUAGAGAAUACCAAGGCGCUUGAGAGAACUCGGGUGAAGGAACUAGGCAAAAUGGUGCCGUAACUUCGGGAGAAGGCACGCUGAUAUGUAGGUGAAGCGGUUUACCCGUGGAGCUGAAAUCAGUCGAAGAUACCAGCUGGCUGCAACUGUUUAUUAAAAACACAGCACUGUGCAAACACGAAAGUGGACGUAUACGGUGUGACGCCUGCCCGGUGCCGGAAGNGGAGCUGAAGUCAGUCGAAGAUACCAGCUGGCUGCAACUGUUUAUUAAAAACACAGCACUGUGCAAACACGAAAGUGGACGUAUACGGUGUGACGCCUGCCCGGUGCCGGAAGGUUAAUUGAUGGGGUCAGCGCAAGCGAAGCUCCUGAUCGAAGCCCCGGUAAACGGCGGCCGUAACUAUAACGGUCCUAAGGUAGCGAAAUUCCUUGUCGGGUAAGUUCCGACCUGCACGAAUGGCGUAAUGAUGGCCAGGCUGUCUCCACCCGAGACUCAGUGAAAUUGAACUCGCUGUGAAGAUGCAGUGUACCCGCGGCAAGACGGAAAGACCCCGUGAACCUUUACUAUAGCUUGACACUGAACAUUGAGCCUUGAUGUGUAGGAUAGGUGGGAGGCUUUGAAGUGUGGACGCCAGUCUGCAUGGAGCCGACCUUGAAAUACCACCCUUUAAUGUUUGAUGUUCUAACGUGGACCCGUAAUCCGGGUUGCGGACAGUGUCUGGUGGGUAGUUUGACUGGGGCGGUCUCCUCCUAAAGAGUAACGGAGGAGCACGAAGGUUGGCUAAUCCUGGUCGGACAUCAGGAGGUUAGUGCAAUGGCAUAAGCCAGCUUGACUGCGAGCGUGACGGCGCGAGCAGGUGCGAAAGCAGGUCAUAGUGAUCCGGUGGUUCUGAAUGGAAGGGCCAUCGCUCAACGGAUAAAAGGUACUCCGGGGAUAACAGGCUGAUACCGCCCAAGAGUUCAUAUCGACGGCGGUGUUUGGCACCUCGAUGUCGGCUCAUCACAUCCUGGGGCUGAAGUAGGUCCCAAGGGUAUGGCUGUUCGCCAUUUAAAGUGGUACGCGAGCUGGGUUUAGAACGUCGUGAGACAGUUCGGUCCCUAUCUGCCGUGGGCGCUGGAGAACUGAGGGGGGCUGCUCCUAGUACGAGAGGACCGGAGUGGACGCAUCACUGGUGUUCGGGUUGUCAUGCCAAUGGCACUGCCCGGUAGCUAAAUGCGGAAGAGAUAAGUGCUGAAAGCAUCUAAGCACGAAACUUGCCCCGAGAUGAGUUCUCCCUGAGACUUAGAGUCUCCUGAAGGAACGUUGAAGACGACGACGUUGAUAGGCCGGGUGUGUAAGCGCAGCGAUGCGUUGAGCUAACCGGUACUAAUGAACCGUGAGGCUUAACCUUACAACGCCGAAG